Molecule: long non-coding RNA, 735 nt
Organism: Diceros bicornis minor
Lineage: Eukaryota; Metazoa; Chordata; Mammalia; Perissodactyla; Rhinocerotidae
Exons: 2
Source: RefSeq, a predicted model, not a curated record
GGGGAGACCAGCAGCCCCCGAGCCCCAGGACAACCAGCUGAGUCUGUUCUCACAGGAGCCAUGGCGCAGAGACUGGGAAGCAUGGUUCCAACACAGCAGGAUUCCCGGCUUUGUCUCCUUCUGCUGCUGGGGCUCUUGGGAAUGGUGAUCUCAUUCCAUGUCCCACCAGGGUUAACCAAGGCUCAGUGGUUUGAAAUUCAGCACAUAAAUAUGACACACAACCGAUGCGAUGAUGCAAUGAGAGCGGUUAACUGGUAUUGGAAAAGAUGCAAAGAUAAGAACACAUUCCUCAAUGCGACGUUUGCUUUUGUAGCUAAUGUUUGUAGCACCGCAAAUGUAACCUGCUCGAACCGCUCAACAAAUUGUCAUAAUAGCCCAGUUCGGGUAAAUAUAACAUACUGCAACCUCACAGCACCGGCACCACGAUAUACAAAAUGUAGAUAUGGACAGACACAGGCACAGAUGUACUUCAGAGUUGCCUGUAACAACAGUUCACCAAGGGACAAUGGCACCUAUCGAGUGGUUCCAGUUCACCUGGAUGCGAUUUUCUAACCUCUGGGUCAGCGCUUUGUGAGAAGCUCAUCUGCCAGGCCACACAGUCACAGCCACGGUCCCACCCCACCAUCCACCCCGGAUAUCAGCAUCAGUCAUCAUCGCGCCAGCCCUCGACCCCCUCUAAGCUUUGCUGAGCUGAAGCUCCUUAUUCUUCUUGCAAUAAACUUCUUUACAGAAUCA